RNAcentral lists this small RNA (340 nucleotides) under Pongo abelii (Sumatran orangutan). Lineage: Eukaryota; Metazoa; Chordata; Mammalia; Primates; Hominidae. The record is from RNAcentral.
GCCAGGCAUGGUGGCGGGUGCCUGUAGUCCCAGCUAUUCGGGAGGCUGAGGCAGGAGAAUGGCGUGAACCCUGGAGGCGGAGCUUGCAGUGAGCCGAGAUUGCGUCACUGCACUCCAGCCUGAGUAACAGAGCGAGACUCCAUCUCAAAAAAAAAAAAAAAAAAAAAAAAAAAAAAAAAAGGUGCAAUAAGUAGAGGAAGGAAAUACUUGAUUUUUAUUUAUUUGAGACAAGAGUCUCGCUCUGUCGCCCAAGCUGAAGUCGCCCAGGCUGGAGUGCAGUGGCCUGAUCUUGGCUUACUGCUAGCUCCGCCUCCCGAGUUCACACCAUUCUCCUGCCUCA